GAUACCCCAGGUCAGGUGUGGCCACCCGCUGAGUUUAAGCAUAUCAAUAAGCGG
Molecule: ribosomal RNA, 54 nt
Filed under: Eleocharis erythropoda
Lineage: Eukaryota; Viridiplantae; Streptophyta; Magnoliopsida; Poales; Cyperaceae
Description: partial 28S ribosomal RNA
Source: RNAcentral